AAGUUAAUGUUGAUAAAGGUCAAAU
This 25-nucleotide unclassified non-coding RNA is filed under the name Klebsiella pneumoniae subsp. pneumoniae BJ1-GA. RNAcentral's name for it is "U1". Lineage: Bacteria; Pseudomonadati; Pseudomonadota; Gammaproteobacteria; Enterobacterales; Enterobacteriaceae. The record is from RNAcentral.